Molecule: microRNA precursor, 192 nt
Filed under: Oryza brachyantha (malo sina)
Lineage: Eukaryota; Viridiplantae; Streptophyta; Magnoliopsida; Poales; Poaceae
Description: MIR812 microRNA precursor family
Rfam family: MIR812 microRNA precursor family
Source: Rfam by way of RNAcentral
AAUAAAUCAAUUUUUUAUUUUUUACCUACAAUUUUUGACUAUUCGUCUUAUUUAAAUUUUUUUACGAUCGAUAUUUCUGUUUUUAUUAGAUGAUAAAUUAUAAAUAGUACUUUAUGUGUGGCUAAUUUUUUUAAUUUCCUAAAAUUUUUUCAAAUAAGACGAAUGGUCAAAUGUUGAUCACGGAAACCGAAG